UCCUUGGAGGGCUAGUGGUUAGGCCCUGGCACUCUCACCACUGCAGCCCGGGUUCAAUUCUCGGCCAGGGAA
RNAcentral lists this transfer RNA (72 nucleotides) under Pangasianodon hypophthalmus (striped catfish). It matches the Rfam family "tRNA". From Rfam's summary of the family: Transfer RNA (tRNA) molecules are approximately 80 nucleotides in length. Their secondary structure includes four short double-helical elements and three loops (D, anti-codon, and T loops). Further hydrogen bonds mediate the characteristic L-shaped molecular structure. tRNAs have two regions of fundamental functional importance: the anti-codon, which is responsible for specific mRNA codon recognition, and the 3' end, to which the tRNAs corresponding amino acid is attached (by aminoacyl-tRNA synthetases). tRNAs cope with the degeneracy of the genetic code in two manners: having more than one tRNA (with a specific anti-codon) for a particular amino acid; and 'wobble' base-pairing, i.e. permitting non-standard base-pairing at the 3rd anti-codon position. The record is from Rfam by way of RNAcentral. Lineage: Eukaryota; Metazoa; Chordata; Actinopteri; Siluriformes; Pangasiidae.